CCUACGGGUGGCAGCAGUGGGGAAUAUUGCACAAUGGUGGAAACCCUGAUGCAGCGACGCCGCGUGAGCGAUGAAGUAUUUCGGUAUGUAAAGCUCUAUCAGCGGGGAAGAAAAUGACGGUACCUGACUAAGAAGCUCCGGCUAACUACGUGCCAGCAGCCGCGGUAAUAUGGAGGGGGCAAGCGUUAUCCGGAUUUACUGGGUGUAAAGGGAGCGUAGACGGCUUGGCAAGCCAGAGGUGAAAGGCUGGGGCUCAACCCCAGGACUGCAGUUGGAACUGUCAUGCUUGAGUGUCGGAGAGGCAGGCGGAAUUCGUAGUGUAGCGGUGAAAUGCGUAGAUAUUAGGAGGAACACCAGUGGCGAAGGCGGCCUGCUGGACGAUGACUGACGUUGAGGCUCGAAAGCGUGGGGAGCAAACUGGAUUAGAUACCCCUGUAGUC
Molecule: ribosomal RNA, 440 nt
Filed under: uncultured bacterium
Lineage: Bacteria
Description: partial 16S ribosomal RNA
Rfam family: Bacterial small subunit ribosomal RNA
Source: RNAcentral